GCUGCACCACAAGCGGACUGGCCGGCGCACUCCCUUGGUAAGGGAGAAGCCGAGAGUUCAAAUCUCUCUAGCAGCACCA
This 79-nucleotide transfer RNA is filed under the name Ensifer meliloti. RNAcentral describes it as "Sinorhizobium meliloti tRNA-Thr". The stretch from base 12 to 68 matches the Rfam family "tRNA", at positions 9 to 63 of the family's 71-position model. Rfam says of the family: Transfer RNA (tRNA) molecules are approximately 80 nucleotides in length. The record is from RNAcentral. Lineage: Bacteria; Pseudomonadati; Pseudomonadota; Alphaproteobacteria; Hyphomicrobiales; Rhizobiaceae.